This 458-nucleotide ribosomal RNA is filed under the name uncultured bacterium. RNAcentral describes it as "bacterial SSU rRNA". It matches the Rfam family "Bacterial small subunit ribosomal RNA", at positions 28 to 526 of the family's 1533-position model. The record is from RNAcentral.
GACGAACGCUGGCGGUACGCCUAACACAUGCAAGUCGAACGGGUAGCUUUGCUACCAGUGGCAGACGGGUGAGUAAUGCACAGGAAUCUACCCCAUGGUACAGGAUAGCUCAGGGAAACUUGGAUUAAUACUGUAUAAUGUCGAGAGAUGAAAGCCGUAAGGCGCCAAGGGAUGAGCCUGUGUCCGAUUAGCUAGUUGGUAGGGUAAAAGCCUACCAAGGCCACGAUCGGUAGCUGGUUUGAGAGGAUGAUCAGCCACAGUGGAACUGAGACACGGUCCACACUCCUACGGGAGGCAGCAGUGGGGAAUUUUCCGCAAUGGGCGAAAGCCUGACGGAGCGAUACCGCGUGCAGGAAGAAGGCCUUAGGGUUGUAAACUGCUGUCUGCAGGGAAGAAAAAAAUGACGGUACCUGCAAAGAAAGCACCGGCUAACUCUGUGCCAGCCGCCGCCGUAAAAC